AUGAUUUGCUUGUUAUCUCUUUGUGUCACAGUAUGUGAGACGUUGAUCAGUGCAGAUCAGGACUUGACUCCUCUGUUUGAAUCAACUACCCCUAUGGAUGGUGUAUCUAGCUUCCCAAUGAAGCUCAAGCAGAUUGUAGGAAAAUAUAUGCAUCGCAGGUCUGAACACCUGGCAAUUCUGAAGCUUACAUGUAAGAUGGUCAUAUCAAUGAUGAAACACAGGGGCGACUAUAUGAAAGAAGAACUGUUAAGCUUGAUGGACACUCUGUCUACAGCUUCAAAAGAGAUGUUUCUUUUUGAUGGCUCUAUGGUUUUUUACAUUCAGGAAGACAGUGGCGCUACAACCACGCGGGAGCCUUUCAGGAGUCUGGCUUCCCUCGUGAAAGAAGCACAGGAACUGGUGGACAAAAGAAAUGAACUUUGA
RNAcentral lists this ribosomal RNA (423 nucleotides) under Triticum aestivum (bread wheat). RNAcentral describes it as "partial small subunit ribosomal RNA". The record is from RNAcentral. Lineage: Eukaryota; Viridiplantae; Streptophyta; Magnoliopsida; Poales; Poaceae.